RNAcentral lists this ribosomal RNA (1456 nucleotides) under human gut metagenome. Its description in RNAcentral is "bacterial LSU rRNA". It matches the Rfam family "Bacterial large subunit ribosomal RNA", at positions 911 to 2386 of the family's 2925-position model. The record is from RNAcentral.
UGAAUUUCCUAGGGGGCGUCAAAGCUUACCGAAGAAUAUCAAACUCCGAAUGCCGUGUAGAUGUUGUAUGGGAGUCAGACUGUACGAGAUAAGUUGGACAGUCAAAAGGGAAAGAGCCCAGACCUGCAGCUAAGGCCCCAAAAUGUGUGUUAAGUGGAAAAGGAUGUGGGAUUUCAAAGACAACUAGGAUGUUGGCUUAGAAGCAGCCAUACAUUCAAAGAGUGCGUAAUAGCUCACUAGUCGAGAGGUCCUGCGCCGAAAAUGUCCGGGGCUGAAACACACUGCCGAAGCUCAGGAAUUAACUGAUGUUAAUUGGUAGAGGAGCAUUGUAUACGGGACGAAGCAGUACCGAUAAGGAGCUGUGGACUGUAUAGAAGAGAGAAUGCCGGAAUGAGUAGCGAGAGGAAGGUGAGAAUCCUUCCGGCCGAAUAUCUAAGGUUUCCAGAGUAAAGCUGAUCUGCUCUGGGUAAGUCGGGGCCUAAGGCCAGGUCGAAAGACGUAACCGAUGGACAACAGGUUGAAAUUCCUGUACCUUAAGUAAACAGAACUGUGGGGACACGUGUGGAGAGCACAAGCCGGAAAUGGAAAAGCCGGUGCAAGCGAGGUAGGAGUACAGUAGGCAAAUCCGCUGUACAAUCCGAAGACGUGAUGCGGACCGAAUUAAGAGUAGGGAAGUGUGUGAGCCAUGCGUCAAGAAAAGCCGCUAUUGUUUUACUUAAGCCCGUACCGUAAACCGACACAGGUGGAUGAGGAGAGAAUCCUAAGGCCGACGGGAGAAGCAUUGUUAAGGAACUCGGCAAAAUGACUCCGUAACUUCGGGAGAAGGAGUGCCAGCGAGAGCUGGCCGCAGAGAAUUGGCCCAAGCAACUGUUUAGCAAAAACACAGGUCUAUGCAAAACCGUAAGGUGAAGUAUAUGGGCUGACGCCUGCCCGGUGCUGGAAGGUUAAGAGGAGAGGUUAGCGGUAACGCGAAGCUUUGAAUUUAAGCCCCAGUAAACGGCGGCCGUAACUAUAACGGUCCUAAGGUAGCGAAAUUCCUUGUCGGGUAAGUUCCGACCCGCACGAAAGGCGUAAUGAUUUGGGCACUGUCUCAACAAUGCACCCGGUGAAAUUGAAAUACCAGUGAAGAUGCUGGUUACCUGCGCCAGGACGGAAAGACCCCAUGGAGCUUUACUCCAGCUUGAUACUGGGAUUCGGUAUUGCAUGUACAGGAUAGGUGGGAGGCUAGGAAGUGAUAACGCCAGUUGUCACGGAGCCGCUGUUGGGAUACCACCCUUGCAGUAUUGGAUUUCUAACCAGCGACCAUGAACUGGUCGGGGGACAAUGUCAGGUGGGGAGUUUGACUGGGGCGGUCGCCUCCGAAAGGGUAUCGGAGGCGCUCAAAGGUUCCCUCAGAAUGGACGGAAACCAUUCGAAGAGUGCAAAGGCAGAAGGGAGCUUGACUGCGACACCGACG